CCUACGGGGGGCAGCAGUGGGGAAUUUUGGACAAUGGGGGCAACCCUGAUCCAGCCAUCCCGCGUGUGCGAUGAAGGCCUUCGGGUUGUAAAGCACUUUUGGCAGGGAAGAAAAGGCGCCGGAUAAUACCUGGCGCUGAUGACGGUACCUGCAGAAUAAGCACCGGCUAACUACGUGCCAGCAGCCGCGGUAAUACGUAGGGUGCAAGCGUUAAUCGGAAUUACUGGGCGUAAAGCGUGCGCAGGCGGUUCGGAAAGAAAGAUGUGAAAUCCCAGAGCUUAACUUUGGAACUGCAUUUUUAACUCCCGAGCUAGAGUAUGUCAGAGGGGGGUAGAAUUCCACGUGUAGCAGUGAAAUGCGUAGAGAUGUGGAGGAAUACCGAUGGCGAAGGCAGCCCCCUGGGAUAAUACUGACGCUCAUGCACGAAAGCGUGGGGAGCAAACAGGAUUAGAUACCCCAGUAGUC
This 465-nucleotide ribosomal RNA is filed under the name uncultured bacterium. RNAcentral describes it as "bacterial SSU rRNA". It matches the Rfam family "Bacterial small subunit ribosomal RNA", at positions 338 to 795 of the family's 1533-position model. The record is from RNAcentral.